UGCAUCGCAAUGCUACACAGAGGAGCACUGCGUAUACUCAGGAGGAGAGCAUCCGCUCUGCAGGAACUACAGCUACACAACCUUGAAACUGCAAGCGGUGCUUGUGAAGGCAAUGCCCAGCCAAGGGUGUAUGAAGCAGCAGGAGUCGUCGUAAGAAUACCGGCUCAUAAAUCCAUGGGUUUCGCCUCCCAGAAGAUCGACUGUACCUUAUACGCAGCUUGCCUCAUGAACUGCUUUGCUGGCUGCUUCCAAAUGGCUGGUACAGUGAUCACCCAUCUCACAUCAGAGCUGUGAAACUCUGAGCCUACCUGGUCACUCAGCUCCUGAAACCAAAGGGAAAAUAUGACUGUCAGCCGCCAGAUACAGCCAGUGUUUGGAGUCGCUGGGGUCCAGAUCAUGGUAGAAGUCCCGGGCAGCGUAUCCAAAGCUGUGGAACUUCCCGUCCGGAGUCAGCAGGAUGGUGGUGGGGGUCUUCUGAUUGGACAC
This is a long non-coding RNA of Acipenser ruthenus (sterlet), 486 nucleotides long. RefSeq lists it as uncharacterized. Lineage: Eukaryota; Metazoa; Chordata; Actinopteri; Acipenseriformes; Acipenseridae. The transcript is spliced from 3 exons. The record is from RefSeq and is a predicted model, not a curated record.